Molecule: ribosomal RNA, 377 nt
Filed under: uncultured bacterium
Lineage: Bacteria
Description: bacterial SSU rRNA
Rfam family: Bacterial small subunit ribosomal RNA
Source: RNAcentral
UAAAACGUAGGUCCCGAGCGUUAUCCGGAUUUACUGGGCGUAAAGCGCGUUCAGGCGGCUGCUCAAGUCGGGCAUGAAAUCUCUCGGCUCAACCGGGAGGGGCUGUCCGAAACUGAGCGGCUUGAGGGCAGUAGAGGGUGGUGGAAUUCCGGGUGUAGUGGUGAAAUGCGUAGAGAUCCGGAGGAACACCAGUGGCGAAAGCGGCCACCUGGACUGUACCUGACGCUCAAACGCGAAAGCUAGGGGAGCGAACGGGAUUAGAAACCCCGGUAGUCCUAGCCAUAAACGAUGUUGACUAGGUGUCAGCGGUCUAAACCCCGUUGGUGCCGGAGCCAACGCACUAAGUCAACCGCCUGGGGACUACGGCCGCAAGGCUA